UACGUAGGCAGCGAGCGUUGUUCGGAAUUACUGGGCGUAAAGAGUGUGUAGGCGGUGCUCUAAGUCUGUUGUGAAAUCUCCCGGCUCAACUGGGAGGGUGCGGCGGAAACUGGAGUGCUCGAGUGUGGGAGAGGUAAGCGGAAUUCCUGGUGUAGCGGUGAAAUGCGUAGAUAUCAGGAAGAACACCUAUGGCGAAGGCAGCUCUCUGGGACGGUACUGACGCUGAGACGCGAAAGCGUGGGGAGCGAACAGG
This 253-nucleotide ribosomal RNA is filed under the name uncultured bacterium. RNAcentral describes it as "partial 16S ribosomal RNA". It matches the Rfam family "Bacterial small subunit ribosomal RNA", at positions 524 to 776 of the family's 1533-position model. The record is from RNAcentral.